GACUCUGUAGCUCAGUUGGUUGGAGCACUGCACUGGAAUCGCAGGGCCGCAGGUGUAAUACUUCGAUUCCUGCCAGAGGUC
Non-coding RNA from Paramuricea clavata, 81 nucleotides. The record is from the annotation of a GenBank genome assembly. Lineage: Eukaryota; Metazoa; Cnidaria; Anthozoa; Malacalcyonacea; Plexauridae.